Molecule: long non-coding RNA, 4138 nt
Organism: Bos grunniens (domestic yak)
Lineage: Eukaryota; Metazoa; Chordata; Mammalia; Artiodactyla; Bovidae
Source: Ensembl
UUUGUUUUUUUUUUUCUUCUGUUCCGUUUCUCCUGUCUAUAACAAAAUUUUUAAAAAAUAUAUAUUGUCAUAAUAUAUUGAGUAAAAAGAGUAUAUAUGUAUAUACCAUGUAUAUGACAGGAUGCGUGUGUCCCGGGAUGCCCACCUGAUUUGUACAUAUCGCGUUUGGCUAUGUUCCACAUAAUGUUGGAUGUAGUGUUCUUGGACCGUUACCUUUUUUUUUUUUUUUUGCAGUUUUGUGAAAUGUUUUAUAACGUCCCUGCCCGGGACCUGUUAGAAAGCACUUUAUUUUUAUAUAUUAAAUAUUUAUGUGUGUACCUGGUCAGUACGUAUAUAGUACACGCGCACAGACACCGUAUGCGGCGCGCCCUUGGAAGAGGACCGGUGACCUUGUUUGCAGCUCUUGCUGGCGGUGCCCUCACGGCCUACAGCCUUGGCCAUCGCUGCGUGCCCAGCUUUCAACUGGUGCCACUGCCUCGUUCCUUGGAACUAGGUCCUUGCCCGCUUCUCCUGCCCUCACCCACGUGGAAGGAUUGUUAACCGCCCCACCCCACCCCACGACAGGUGUUUUUGGCUGUUAAACACUGAUUCUGGGAAGCCCUCUCCCUCUUGGACAGCUGCCAAUUGUUUUCAGAGGGUGGGGAGAAUGUUAGCACAGUUCUUAUUAACUAGGAUUGAUACAUCUGAGCGCUUAGAGCGAGGUAGGUUAAACGUAUGAAACUGCUGUUUUCUAGGUCAGGAGGGGCUCCAGAUGGCAAUGGGUAAGGAGAUACCAGGCAUCUUGCAAGAGCCCUCUCAGACUUUUGUCAUCCUCAUUCCCUGUUCAAACUGUCACUUUUCCUCUUUUAACUCCAUUCUACAUUGAACAAAGAAAGUGCAAACCUGUAAGUGCAGCGAUCGUGCCUUGCUCUUCCCUCUGUGAUUUGUACAAGCCCGCGUUCUCAGCCGCCUCCUCUCUGGCUGUCUGGACUUGUACUCACCAUGUCCACACCCAGUAAGCCCUCCCCAGGCUCAGUGUUGGAGCCCGGGAGCCCAGGCUCUGGGGUGUAUUAGAUUCUUUCAUGUGAAGACCCAGACCCCAUCACAAAGAUUUCCUCUUCCUUGUCUCCCACACCGUGGUCUUCCCCAGUCUCCCACUUUGCGUCUGUGUGUGUGAUGGGAUGGACUGGGGUCCUGACAACAGACGUUUUUCCUUGGCCUGACCCUGUAUGCAGCUUGACUGGGUGCUGGUUGGUCAUUCCCAUUGGCCAGGCUCCCCACGUGGCCUCUCCAUGUAGUCACUUUCCCUCUUAAUAUGCGUAGGUUGACUAUUAGUUGCUCGUGUAACUUGAUAGUGAUUUCACUGAGCUACACGAGCAACUCCUUCCUUCUUGCAUUCCAUCGUUGUUGGCACCUCUUGAAAAAAGGAAACCACCACCAUCCAAAGGCAAGAGCAGUAGCUGAGAACAUGAACUCCAGGAUAGGUAGGUUUCUAUUGUUAUACCUAAAAUGUAAAUAUCUGGUUCUAAGAAUUAGUGGUAGAGUUUGUACUUGAGUCAUUUACGUAAAUGCAAACAGACGGUGAACUUGAAAGGCCACAGAGAUUUGGGUCAAGGUUGUGCGUAGUUUUAGUUGGCUGGGUUAAUUUCUUCCUUUUGAUGAGUGGCACUACCAGACUGGUAGCAAAGAGGAUGUCGCUUCGUGAAAGUUCUGUUUCUUUGUGAACUGAUCUGUUGGUCACAGCAUGGAGCUGUCGACUCACCAGAGGUGGCAAAGCUUCUCUCUAGCCCAUCUUCCAAUGUACGAGAGAAUGAUAUUGGCCAGUCUGGGAAAAUCCCAGAGGCAUCCUGCCUCUUACUGGGCAAAGAUGCAGCGCCAGAGAGCUGAACCCAAACCUGUUAUCCUUGUAUCAAAGCCGAACGGGGGCCUGCCUGCCAUCAGCUCUGAACGGUGACUGCUCUUGUUCCCUUAUGGAAUCACGUGCCCAGGUCAGAAGCUGUAGUUAGCUAGUACUUCUGUUAUGUAACCGAGUAGAAUGCAGGAGGAAAAAUAUUUAGGGUACCUCUAACCACUAUUUUUGUGCAAAUAGUCUAAAAGUGGAAAGCGGUAGAGGUUUUCUACGAUGUCUGGGUUUAGUGUGUACAUGAUGUAACAUACCUGUGUCCUUUUCAGCAAAAGCAAAACAACUGCCUCUCCAAAUACCUGGGAAGAGGAAACUGGGUUUUUUUUGCUGCAUCAUUUACCUGGAAAGGUUGCAUCACGUCUCUUAGUACCAGUGGAUUUGGCUGUUUUCCCUUUGCAGUCAGUGUCUCUCUAUGACUCUGAAGUCUUCCCCAUGGAUAACUGUUUCAGAAAUACAGGUAUUUCUCUAGAGAAGGGCCUGGUUUAUUUUCUUCUGUUUCUUUGAUAGAAUGUCUGGGGAGGAAAAAGAAAAAUGUUCCUUGCACAUGUUGGUUUUUGAAAUCCCCCCCUUAACCAGAAGCGUUUUGGGUCAUACUCACACGUUAGGUAGGACGUCUUCUGGGGGAGCUUAAUCUUGUGGGAACACACUGGUUUUCACAGAUGCACCACAUGGCUGUCUGAAGACUCAAAACUUUUUUUGUCCUUCCCUUCUCUUUGUUACGCUCGGAAACCCCCACAGUGUGUCGAGUCUUUACAAAGAAACCUUUAGAUGUGGUUCAUAGGUAUAUGAAUAAGUAUCUGUGUAAAACAGUGAGUGUGCAGUGUGUAAAUACUUUAAAUUAUUAUGGUAGAAAAAUAAAGUUACAUACCCUGCUGUGGAAUGUUUGUUCUGUGACUGUAGUGCCACCUGCUGGAAGAGUGGAGAAAUAGCAGGAGAAAGGGAGUGAGGGGGUACGUGUACAAAAUCCUACAUGGUUACUGACAGUGAGUCGUUCAACCUGUCCACAAACUCACUUAUUUUCAGAACUAUAUCACUACUAUAGUUUUUCCUUUUUUAAUUUCUAGGCAAUUGGAAAUAAGUCAGAAUCUGUGAGAUUAGUCCACUGGUAUCAUCCCAAAGGUCUUUUUUUAGUGUUGGUUUUUGUCCCCUGCAAGCAUGGAACCUGCAUUUGGUUCUUUGAAGGCAGCUUGGAUGGUAGCAACUUCGUUAGUCCUGGUGGGGAGGAUAUUGGGGCAGGAUUUUCUGGAUUGGUAAACUUUUUUAAAUUCUCACUUCUUGGGUGUUCUAGAAAGAGACAUCACAAGAUCACAAUUUGGUCUUUGUUCAAGAAACAUGCCAAAGGGUAGAAAAGCUUGAGAGAAUUAAACCCAAACUGAAGACACAGAAACGCACUGUUCACACCACUGGGUAGAAUACUAAAUGGAGCGAAUUCUGAUUGGGGAGACAUACAUAGUCAUUUCUUAAAAGAGAAAGUUAACCCUUACAUGCGGUGUUUAUGUGUGGCCUUUCAGAACAAAUAAAAAAGGAAAAUGAUGACAACUGAGCCACCCACACAAAGUAAGAUGCCAGUGUUCCAGCCGCUGAGUGCUUAUGUCUGUACUGACGAACACUAAGAAAUAAUCUAUGUCACCGUGAAGUCUGUGCUUAAGAGGAAAAACAUUCUUCACUGUAUUCACAUCCAGACCUCCAGCUUUUCAGGGAUGGAAAUUUGAGCAGCUGUCCAAAGCCUUAAAGAAGCUUGCUCUUGAAGAGCAAGUGGUGACUAACAGAUUUUAAGAAUCCUGUUAUCUCAGUUUCUCUCUCUCUCUCUCUGUUUUCGUAGCCACAGCAUUUAGCAGCAUCCUAAUGCCUGUAAUCUGGAAUAAAGCACAGGGAUUUCUGCCGUCCUUUCUGGGCCAAGAUACUUUCUCCUCAGUUUUCCCAUUCCCACAAACAGUGAUCUGUUUGUACGUGAACCAAGGAACAUCCCCAUAGAGAAUGUAACCCAGCCAUUCAAGAAGCAGGAGCAGGCCCCAGUUCUUUGCUAUCUCACCCCUAGCCUACCAUAUUGUUUCUGCCUGCAUCCAUUUUCAGCGUGUCUUUGAAUUGGAUGAGUCACAUUCACGCUUUCAUUUCGAUGGUAUUUUCUUUUGAAUUUACUGUUCUUCUUGCCCCGAGUACCUCUAGUAAGCACGAUGCUUAACACUAUCAACUCAGUAAUAGAACACACAGUCCCUUGUGCCCUAAAUGUGAUGUCUGGACUGUGUGCUUGGAGAG